NNNAAAAUGGCUGAUAAAAGUAUUAGACUGUAAAUCUAAGAAUAGAGGUCAAGUCCUCUUUUUGCCAA
RNAcentral lists this transfer RNA (68 nucleotides) under Ursus spelaeus (cave bear). Its description in RNAcentral is "tRNA-Tyr". It matches the Rfam family "tRNA". From Rfam's summary of the family: Transfer RNA (tRNA) molecules are approximately 80 nucleotides in length. Their secondary structure includes four short double-helical elements and three loops (D, anti-codon, and T loops). Further hydrogen bonds mediate the characteristic L-shaped molecular structure. tRNAs have two regions of fundamental functional importance: the anti-codon, which is responsible for specific mRNA codon recognition, and the 3' end, to which the tRNAs corresponding amino acid is attached (by aminoacyl-tRNA synthetases). tRNAs cope with the degeneracy of the genetic code in two manners: having more than one tRNA (with a specific anti-codon) for a particular amino acid; and 'wobble' base-pairing, i.e. permitting non-standard base-pairing at the 3rd anti-codon position. Lineage: Eukaryota; Metazoa; Chordata; Mammalia; Carnivora; Ursidae. The record is from RNAcentral.